CGUGCCACAACGACUCUGUUUCGGUUGGCUUGUCAGCAGCACGAGACGCGCGGCAGAUUGUGUUCAGUUAACUGACAGGUUGUGGCGGCUGUCAGCUUGUUAGCGUCUUUUGUUAUCUUCGGCUUUGUUUUAAGCGGUCGCUCGUUCGUGUUAUGUUGAAGACGCGGCUUUCACUUUUAAACAGCGGUAACAGAGAACCGCCACAGCUCUGAAGUGAAGCUCCCGGGGCGGCUGGCGCCCUUUGUAACUCUAAAGUGAAUGACUGUGUGUGCUGCCAGCUUCUUGACUCCAGUAACCGACUCCCAUGCCUCCAGGAACUGUCUGAUUCUGGAUCUGUGGAGCAGGAAUAGGACAGGCCCAGGCAGAAAGAGAUGAGCUGGGCAGAGGAAGACUGGACGGUGGGGCUGUCUGGACGGGUCCUGCAGAAGGUGAAGGAGCUGCAGGUCCACCAGGAGCGACUGUCCAGAGAGAACAAGCAGAAACAGCUGCAGCUGGACAACAUCCAUACUAGCCUUGAAAAACAGACUGUGAAGUAUGAAGAAGUGCGUGGGGAACUCCAGUCAGUGCAGAGGGAGCUGCAGAGGGUUCAAGAUGAGGCCAAGGCAGCAGUGACCAGUGGGGAACGUCUGACCCAGGAGCUUCAGACCAAGCAGGCUCAAGUGUGCUCUUUUGAAGGCCAGCUAGAUGCUGCUCGCACCCUCAAUAACAAACUCACCCAGGAAGUGAAAAGGCUGGAGGCAGAGCUGGAGAAACUGCAGAACAGUGGCAGGUCAGCAGAUACCACUCUGUUUUCUACACCCUGCUGGAAUACAACCUCGCCCUGGGAACACAAUGGAAGCAGAAAGGAAGAGAGGUCGGCACAUCAAGAUGAAGGACAGAGCCGGUCACUUAACAUCCGACAGCGCCUCCAGUUCUCUGAAGUGGCCACAGCCUCGUUACCCAGACAACAGCACAGGAACACACCCAGCCGCAAUCCAUCUGACCAAUCUGACUCCUUCUCCACUCCCUUGGGUGCAUUUCCGUGGGAACGGGAUGACUCGAGGCCAGCAGCUAGGAGACGAUCCCCGCCCUCUCCCAAGAUGCCCUGCGCUGAGGUCGUCGGUCAAGGCCAGUCGGAGCAGGGGAUCUGUGGGAAGGAGACGGACUACAGGGCAGAGACAGACACAUUGCGGAGUCGUCUGUCUGCUCUGGAGGGGGAGCUGUGUUCGAAGGCCACAAUGUUGAAGUCGAUUCAGAAUGAACUGACACAAUCCAAGAAGGAGCUCGCUGCCAGGGAGCUCAUCGUUCAGAAAUCGCGUGAUGAGCUCAGCCUGGCACACACACGCAUAGCCCGGGAGAGUGAACGGGCAUCAGGAGCUGAACAAAGGGUGAAGCAGCUACAGGAGGAGCUGAAGUGUCAGAGGCAAAAUGCAGAGAGCAGCCGACUGCAACACCAACAGCGCUCCAAGGAGCUGGAGAAACAACAUCAAAGGGAUUUGACAGAGCUUCAGAGGGAGAGGCAGUGUCUAGAGAAGCAGCAUCAACAGGAGGUUAAUAAGCUCAACCAGGAGAUCCAGCAGGCCAGGACACUCCACAAUGCCCUGCAGGCCCAGGCUGACAAGUUGUCUCUACAGAAGCAGGCUUUGGAGAAAGAGUUGGACACUCUGAAAGAGAAACUGAAGUGGACGGAGGGGCAGCUGCAGGAGAGCCAGAAGAAAGAAGCACAGACACAAGCCAAACUGACGGAAGCGGUGCGUGAGGCCGAGGGUGUGGCAGUGAGUCUGGAACAGAGCAGGAAGAAAGAGCGAGCUCUGGAGGAGGAGGGGAGGAGACUGGCAGAGGAGCGAGCCGACGCCCUUCGUCUCCUCAAAGAACUGCAGGAACAAAAAGAUGCCCCGGCACCACUUUUACAACCUGUCCAGUUUUGCCCUGUGGGACAGGGUUUCUCUCCUCAACCUUCUUACUCCCUCAAUUCUCGGCAAUCACCUCACAUCAGGAGGUCCACCACUGCCACCCUCGCUGAGCAGAAAAGGGAAGAGGAAGUGGGUAAGAGAAGGGCAGAGAUUACCGCAUCUUACCCCUCUGACAGAGAGCCAGGGGAAGGCAUUGACUCAGAACACAUCAAUGUUCUUCUCUCGUCAGACACUGAAUGCUUGCAAAGGGAAGGACACAGAAAAAGAAGUGAGGAGGAGAAUAAGAGGGAAAAUGAGGCGAUAGAGAGUGACAGCUCUGGGAGAAACAAACACUCCACUUUUGAUCAUGCACUCUCGACUUUGUCUCAUUCUGCUGCUGGUAGGCCCACGAAUAACUCCAUGGAUGGUGAUCGUUGCGAUUUGAUGCGUUCUGCUGAAGAGACACCUCAUAAGUCUGAGCAGGCCAAGGCCUCUGAAGACCUCAAGAGGGAGAAUGCUGGAUUGCGUUCAGAGCUUCAUGAUGUACGCGAAGAACUGCAGAAGCGACUCGAGGACCUGGAAGCCCAACGACGAGCUGAGGCAGAAGCACGGACCAGGCUCAAACAGCUCAGCCGAAAACAUGCCAGUCAGUCGGUGGAGAAGAACGAGCAGGACAAACAGUGGAGGGCACAGCUGGAGAGUGAGAAGGCUGAGACAGAGAGGUUGAGGAAGACCAUUGCUGCUUUGGAGACAGAAAUGAAGCAAGGAAAGGAGAAAAGAGAAAAGAAUGAGAGAGAGGAGGCAGAGGAGAAAAACAAAGCACUAGAAGACCGGGAGAGUGAAAUGAUUGAGCUUAAUAUCCAGCUAAAGAAACAGCUAGCGGAUCUGAAGGCCCAGCUGGCUUUAGAACGAGAAGAAAGAAAAAGAGAGGAAGAGGAGAGGAACCAAAUAACAAACACAGACAUGGAUGUAAAGAAGGAGCUGAGCAUGAAACUGGAAGAACUUAAAACUGAAUUGGAAGAAUUAAAGCGUAGCAGAACAGAAGACUCGCUGGAAGAUGAGAAACUCUCAGCUGCCAGCAGCCCACUGACGUACCUGACUCUCCAUGACGAUGAACUCAACUCUAACAUGGUUCACUGUGACGAGUCCUUCUUGUCGCCAGAGCAGCACCUCAUCUUCUGUCAGUCCACCAAUCAACACAACGUGCUUGUAUCUCAGGCAACAACAGAUCUCAUCCAGGAAGAGCGAACGGUCAUAAAUCCUGAAGUGGCGUCUGACCUGGAAGACACUAGACAAAACAACAGGACGAUAAGUUCUGGUGCCCUGAAGGAUGAGUCUAGGUCCUCAGAUUUGAUGAAAGAGGUGAAACACCUGCAGACGGAGAAGGCAAAGGAGACAGAACGUGCUAACCAGUAUCAGGUUAAACUGGAGGCCCUGCAGAGCCAGGUGACACGUCAGACCCAGCAGCUAACUAUGGCCUUUGAGAAACAGAGUCAGCACAUAUCUGGUCUCCUAGCUGAGCUGCAAGAGAAAGAGCGCUCCCUCCUCAGCCAGGGAGAGGAACUGCAGCGCUACAAGCAAGAAGUGGAUGCACUCAAGGCCCAAAAACAGGAAGAGGAGAUGAUGGUUAAAGAGACUGAGGAUGGGGAACAAAUAGAAGGGGCACGAGAUGAGAGUUCAACGGAGAUCUCAGGACUUCAGCCAAACCACGAAAAGGAGGGGGCUGUCUCUUCCCUUACUACAAACUCACAAGCAGGUGGUGUUUCCAUUGCACAGAGAGAUGCAGGUCAGCAGUCAGCAGAGAUUAUUACAUCUGAAAGACCACCAACUAUCACUGACAAUGAAGCGCUGUGGUCAGGGGAGCAGCAUCCAGACAAGACUGAGAGUAACCAUGACUUUACUUGUGUUAUGGGAGAGACGGAGUGCAGUCAAGAUGAAGGAACAGCAGACGUGGUUCUGGAACUGCUCGCUCUGCGGCAGGAGAAUCAACUGCUGAAACAAAGAAUAUCCAGCUUGACUGUCUCAGACACCAGCACUCCAGUGUUACACAGUGAUGCUGAGAACCAAGAAGACCCAGCUAACCAAAGCCAAAACACAGGAAAUGCUUCUCUGCCUUGCCCAGUGGAGCAGAGGUCGUCUGGCGUGUUGAAUGACAUCAGCAAUGGAGUACAACAGUCAGCGCUUCAGAGUGGGAAAAGGAUUGAAGAUGAGGGAGGAGAUUUAGAAAGGGAAGAGGGGAAGACUGCAGGGACUGAAGAAGUACUGGAGGCAGUAUGUCCGCUUCAGAUUCAGCGCCUUCAGCAACAGGUGGUGGAGCUGAACAUGAAGGUUCGGGCUCUCUCUGAGGAGACCCAGCAGCAGACUGAGGAGCUUGCUGUGUGGAGACUUGCCUCCCAGCCAGCUCCAACUUUUGACCUUACCAACACAGACAACGAGUCUGAGACCCAAGACAAGAUCUCUGCUAUUAGACAGUCAAACCAGCAGCAGACUGAUGCGAUGAUGCAAGCUCAGGUUCAGGCACCUCAUCUGGAUGUUGAGGAGAGCCACGGUAAUAUCACCCUCAUCAGAGAGGACGAGUUACUCCUCUCCUGCUCCUCCAGCAAACUGCAGGGCCGCAUGUUGUUCUCCAGACUGCAGCACAGGAACCAUCCUGGACCAAAGAGUUUCCAGCCCUCUAAAAAGACCACAUCCCCUCAGGAGUAUAUUUGCGACACUGCCGAAAUUGACAAGGACUCUGAAAAAGAAAACCAAGAAAUUACCCUUUCACGUCAGUCAAAUAUCUGUCAAACACAGCAAAAACAGAAGACGGAGAGUGAAGUUGUCCAAAUGUCAUCUGAGAAAACGGGUCAACAGCAAGUCACCAAAGAUUCUCACAAAGUUUCAGGACCAAAGCAGACCAAAACAGCCGAGUGUCACAUGGGGAAUCCAGAUGCUUCCAGACUGACCAAUGAAAUAAAAAACAACAUUGACUACUCAAAAGGAGAUGUCAGGACAGAAAUGAAAAGUACCAGCAGUCAAACAGAGGAGAGUUUGUAUCCUCGCAGCUCUCUGCCAGCACCCGAACUCCACUGUGCAUACACACAGACGGAGGAGGAGGAGGAGGAGGAGGAAGAUGAUGAAGACGAGUCAGUGGAAUCACCUCCGGUCUCUCCUGUCCCAUUACGUGAGGAGCCUGUUUCAGCUGACAAGAUCUUGUUUUCGGGUUCCUUCCCUAUCCCAGCUGACCCGGCCCGUCUGGCUGAAAGAAUUCGCCGUAACAGGACGCAGCUUUCAGCUGCCUUUGAUGACACAGAGUAUGAACCUUAUGGGCUGCCGGAAGUCGUCAUGAAAGGUUUUGCAGACAUCCCCAGUGGUCCCUCAUGCCCCUACAUUGUGAGAAGAGGUUUGCUAGGGACAAGUGUCGUACCUGUCCCUCAGAAAAAACAGAAAGAGGAGGAGACCGAUUAAAACAAAACGACAGGUUACCAGAUACUUGCACUUUGGGUCGGGGCAUUGGCCAACACUGGUCAGAACAUCGGCCAACCCAAAGCGUCAGUUUUUGAUGAGCUCGGAAUGAAACGGCCAAUUCAAGACGCUCACAACUCUCAGAGAAGCGGUGGAAAAUCCUGAUGACUGUGGCUUGACAAUGAACAUCAGUGAUGGACGACAGCAGCUGUACAGAGAUUCUUCACUCACCAGCAACCUGAAGCACUUCAGACUGACACAGGGCCAGUUUACAUAGUGCUGCAAUCACUCAUGGACUUCUGUGCAUGUGUGCAGGUAACUGGGCCUGCACUGGCAGAAUGAACACCUCCACCGUGGAGCUAAAAUGUCUUAAUGGUCACUGGUUCAUCCUCUAAUUGCUGUGUGGAGACUUCACACCCACCUGUAUAUUUAGGAACAGACGUAGUGAUUAACUGAUGUUUGUUGAUGUUUGUUGAGGCAACAACCACUCUUCCAAAGGGACUGUUUAGUUUUUAGCAACUUAUGGGUCCAGCCUUCUUUGAAUGAAUCAGUGCCUAGUUGAUGUUUUUCCAAACAAACGCUUAUCAAGAUAAGUUUGACUUGUUUUCCAAAAAGGGUGAAACCAAGGGAGGCCUGUUGUGAUGAUAUAUUAUAUUUUCUUCUUUUUAAUCCUUGAGGUGGCUUAUUUAUGGACACUUGAAUGUGUUUUAGUGAGGGCAGGUGUUUACAGAAAUUGUGUGAAAGCCCAGUGAGUGUGUGUGAGACAUUAGCUGUGAAUAUGAACAUGUGUGUCCUCAUCUUGAUGUUACUGUUUGUAUAUAUAUGUGUGUGUGUGUGUGUGUGUGUGAGAGAGAGAGAGAGAGAAAGAGAGGGGCGAGCUCGUCUUAUGACUCAGUCAAACCUGCGAUGGUUUCCGCUCCAUGUAUGGUGAUGCACACUGCGCUCCCUCUUUCCUCCUUCUGCUGCUUUGCUUCUGUGUCGCACGCUAACGAGCAGUUAGUGGUCAGCCCUGGGAUGCAUUUACCAAAAACUAACAUUUGAAGCUUUACUUUUAUUUACAGAGCUUUCAGAAAAAAUCAAUUGGUUUCUUAUAUUUGAUCGGAUAUUAUUUAUUUGAUGUUUCUGUUUUUGGCUUUUGCACAUUAGUUACAGUGUUGUAGCCAACAGUAGCCAACAUGUAUGUACACUGUAGGUUUUGUAGAUAGUUGAUGUAUAGUUUGUGUUUUGCCCUAUAACAGAGGAUCUCACCACUUUGCCUGCUUACAAGGUUUGUACAGUUUAUUAAAGAUAGGUUCACAUUUUCUAAUCUAAAACAAUACUCACACGCCCACAAUGAAAGAAGUAAACGUUGUAAUUGUUUCUCUUGUCCAUAGUCUUCUACUAAAGUAGUUUUAAUGUAAGGGAGAGGGCAAAAUCCAAGGUGUUCAUCAUGUGUAAGAGUUUAAUAGAUGCUGCUAUGCUUGAUGAUGUAAUGAAUAAACUCGCAGGGCUUGCUAAAUAAACUUGAUGCCUGUCAGUCCUCAUAGCCCGUGGAGAAUUUCUUUUUUCUCUCUAGCUUAGCUCAGUUGCUAAUGAGACAAGAAGUUCACACAGUUUAUUCAAAAGACAAAUGUACCAUCAACUCUUGUCUCAUAACGGUCUGUAAACUAUUACUCUUUGGGGAGGCAUUAAUAUGAUGAACUUUAUUUGACCGUCAGAGGAGAAAAAAGAUUCAACUGAAUAAAGAAACUCGGCCAAUAAGCUACAAAACCUUCAGCCAUUUUGGUCUCUCUGUCUCCUCAGAGGUACAUAGCUUGUUAUUGAGCAGCCGCGUGAAUUCACAGCAUCAGUAUUUACUUGGAGUUCACAGUGUUUUCCCAUUGCAUUUAAGCAGGUUUUUUAAUAGCGAUAUAUCCAAUUGAUGCAACUGAUAUGUGAGAUACACAAAAUAAGAAAACAACUUUUUGAAUGGUUUGCAUCAUGUCAGCCUGAUUAAAGCAUCAUUUUAUCAGCAUGUCAUCUGGGCAGAAGUGUUCAGGGUGUCAGUAAAUCAUUUUAAAGCUUUUAUCUUCUGAUACUGAUGACAUGCUGAUAUUAUUGUACAUCUAUAAGAUCAUAAGUUUAACUCAGUUUGAAAAAUACUUUUCAUUGGAGUAAAUUGAAAUGUUAAUCUUACGUUUUCACCACAGUAUUUACUUGCUGAGUUCUGAUGUAGGACCGCUAACAAAAGGAGGGAAUUUUAUACUACUCAGACUGUAAAUUUUGAAAGAUACCUAAGCUUGAUAUUAACUUCUAAAACUGUGAGUUUUGUCCCCACUUUAAGAAACCUUUACUUUGAAUAUAAAUGGAAGCAUGUGAGUAUUGUUAUAAGACGUGAACAAAAUGUGUACGUAUCCUUUGAAACAUUGCUGAGCUCUCUUCCGUAACUUUUGAUAUAACUUCAGCUGAAGGUUUUUGACAUACUUGUGUUAAAAGUGUGGACUGAUUUGGUUUUCUUCUGUUAACAUCUAUUUAGAUGUAGAGUCGUUCUCUCCUGGCCUCGGUUUGUUGACUGAGUCAGAACAGUGUGGACUGUUACUGCCCCAACUAGAUGCCAUUUGCCAUGUUGACACACACACACACACACACACACACACACACACACACACACACACACACACACACACUGUCCCUCUCUUUCAGCUGCCUUCAUAUCUCUGGGAUCUGUAGUCUUUUGGCAGUGAGGUGGGAUUGUCGGACUCUGAGCACAGACGCUCACUGAUUAACUCACUGUGUAUUUGUUGCCUUGUUUUGGACACUUUGAUGUGAAUGUAUCUGUGUUUGCGGCUAGAAUAAAAGGCUUGCUCUUAAUUUAA
Molecule: RNA transcript, 8149 nt
Organism: Acanthopagrus latus (yellowfin seabream)
Lineage: Eukaryota; Metazoa; Chordata; Actinopteri; Spariformes; Sparidae
Gene name: centromere protein F
Exons: 20
Source: RefSeq, a predicted model, not a curated record